RNAcentral lists this ribosomal RNA (433 nucleotides) under uncultured bacterium. RNAcentral's name for it is "partial 16S ribosomal RNA". It matches the Rfam family "Bacterial small subunit ribosomal RNA", at positions 29 to 507 of the family's 1533-position model. The record is from RNAcentral.
AACGAACGCUGGCGGCAUGCCUAACACAUGCAAGUCGAACGAGACCUUCGGGUCUAGUGGCGCACGGGUGCGUAACGCGUGGGAAUCUGCCCUUGGGUUCGGGAUAACAGUUGGAAACGACUGCUAAUACCGGAUGAUGACUUCGGUCCAAAGAUUUAUCGCCCAGGGAUGAGCCCGCGUCGGAUUAGCUAGUUGGUGAGGUAAGAGCUCACCAAGGCGACGAUCCGUAGCUGGUCUGAGAGGAUGAUCAGCCACACUGGGACUGAGACACGGCCCAGACUCCUACGGGAGGCAGCAGUGGGGAAUAUUGGACAAUGGGCGAAAGCCUGAUCCAGCAAUGCCGCGUGAGUGAUGAAGGCCUUAGGGUUGUGAAGCUCUUUUACCCGGGAUGAUAAUGACAGUACCGGGAGAAUAAGCCCCGGCUAACUCCGUG